This 425-nucleotide ribosomal RNA is filed under the name uncultured Diversisporaceae. Its description in RNAcentral is "SSU rRNA". It matches the Rfam family "Eukaryotic small subunit ribosomal RNA", at positions 459 to 886 of the family's 1831-position model. The record is from RNAcentral. Lineage: Eukaryota; Fungi; Glomeromycota; Glomeromycetes; Diversisporales.
GGGAGGUAGUGACAAUAAAUAACAAUACGGGGCUCAUUUGGGUCUCGUAAUUGGAAUGAGUACAAUUUAAAUCUCUUAACGAGGAACAAUUGGAGGGCAAGUCUGGUGCCAGCGGCCGCAGUAAUUCCAGCUCCAAUAACGUAUAUUAAAGUUGUUGCAGUUAAAAAGCUCGUAGUUGAACUUCAAGGUUUACUCAUUGGUCAGGCUUAAUUGUCUGUACUGGUAAGAUGAAUCUCUACCUUCUGAGGAACUUUCAUGCCAUUUAUUUGGUGUGGGAGGAAAUCAGGACUGUUACUUUGAAAAAAUUAGAGUGUUUAAAGCAGGCUAACGUCUGAAUACAUUAGCAUGGAAUAAUGAAAUAGGACAGACUGAUUCUAUUUUGUUGGUUUCUAGGAUCACCGUAAUGAUUAAUAGGGAUAGUUGGG